This 484-nucleotide ribosomal RNA is filed under the name uncultured bacterium. RNAcentral describes it as "partial 16S ribosomal RNA". It matches the Rfam family "Bacterial small subunit ribosomal RNA", at positions 29 to 507 of the family's 1533-position model. The record is from RNAcentral.
AUUGAACGCUGGCGGCAUGCUUUACACAUGCAAGUCGAACGGCAGCGCGGGCUUCGGCCUGGCGGCGAGUGGCGAACGGGUGAGUAAUACAUCGGAACGUGCCCAGUAGUGGGGGAUAGCUCGGCGAAAGCCGGAUUAAUACCGCAUACGACCUGAGGGUGAAAGCGGGGGAUCUUCGGACCUCGCGCUAUUGGGGCGGCCGAUGGCAGAUCAGCUAGUUGGUGGUGUAAAGGCCUACCAAGGCGACGAUCUGUAGCUGGUCUGAGAGGACGACCAGCCACACUGGGACUGAGACACGGCCCAGACUCCUACGGGAGGCAGCAGUGGGGAAUUUUGGACAAUGGGCGAAAGCCUGAUCCAGCAAUGCCGCGUGUGUGAUGAAGGCCUUCGGGUUGUAAAGCACUUUUGGCGGGAACGAAAAGGACUGUGCCAAUACCACGGUUCGAUGACGGUACCCGCAGAAUAAGCACCGGCUAACUACGUG